This 497-nucleotide ribosomal RNA is filed under the name uncultured bacterium. RNAcentral describes it as "partial 16S ribosomal RNA". It matches the Rfam family "Bacterial small subunit ribosomal RNA", at positions 28 to 507 of the family's 1533-position model. The record is from RNAcentral.
GAUGAACGCUGGCGGCGUGCCUAAUACAUGCAAGUCGAGCGAACAGACGAGUAGCUUGCUCCUCUGACGUUAGCGGCGGACGGGUGAGUAACACGUGGAUAACCUACCUAUAAGACUGGGAUAACUUCGUGAAACCGGAGCUAAUACCGGAUAAUAUAUUGAACCGCAUGGUUCAAUAGUUAAAGACGGUUUUGCUGUCACUUAUAGAUGUAUCCGCGCCGCAUUAGCUAGUUGGUAAGGUAACGGCUUACCAAGGCAACGAUGCGUAGCCGACCUGAGAGGGUGAUCGGCCACACUGGAACUGAGACACGGUCCAGACUCCUACGGGAGGCAGCAGUAGGGAAUCUUCCGAAAUGGGCGAAAGCCUGAAGGAGCAACGCCGCGUGAGUGAUGAAGGUCUUCGGAUCGUAAAACUCUGUUAUUAGGGAAGAACAAAUGUGUAAGUAACUAUGCACGUCUUGACGGUACCUAAUCAGAAAGCAACGGCUAACUACGUG